RNAcentral lists this ribosomal RNA (466 nucleotides) under uncultured bacterium. RNAcentral's name for it is "partial 16S ribosomal RNA". It matches the Rfam family "Bacterial small subunit ribosomal RNA", at positions 28 to 507 of the family's 1533-position model. The record is from RNAcentral.
GACGAACGCUGGCGGCGCGCCUAACACAUGCAAGUCGAACGAGCGAGAGAGAGCUUGCUUUCUUGAGCGAGUGGCGAACGGGUGAGUAACGCGUGAGGAACCUGCCUCAAAGAGGGGGACAACAGUUGGAAACGACUGCUAAUACCGCAUAAGCCCACGGUGCCGCAUGGCACAGAGGGAAAAGGAGCAAUCCGCUUUGAGAUGGCCUCGCGUCCGAUUAGCUAGUUGGUGAGGUAACGGCCCACCAAGGCGACGAUCGGUAGCCGGACUGAGAGGUUAAACGGCCACAUUGGGACUGAGACACGGCCCAGACUCCUACGGGAGGCAGCAGUGGGGAAUAUUGCACAAUGGGGGAAACCCUGAUGCAGCGACGCCGCGUGGAGGAAGAAGGUCUUCGGAUUGUAAACUCCUGUUGUUGGGGAAGAUAAUGACGGUACCCAACAAGGAAGUGACGGCUAACUACGUG